CUUUGUCUCUCUUUGUCUCUCUUUGUCUCUCUCUCUCUCUCUCUCUCUCUCUAAUUUAGACUCUACAACACCUGAGUCCAGCACUACAGAACAAAAUACUACAGCUGACCUCACAACACAACUGACCACAGUUACCAGUAAAUACAAUCAAGUACUAGUGAAAAUAAUUUGUUCUGAAAUUCAGGUCUUUGCACGUUUGUCACAAUAUCUCUCUCUCUCUCCCUCGCUCUCUCCCUCGCUCUCUCCCUCUCUCUCUCCCUCGCUCUCUCCCUCUCUCUCUCCCUCGCUCUCUGUCUGUCUGUCUGUCUGUCUGUCUGUCUGUCUGUCUGUCUGUCUGUCUGUCUGUCUGGUUGUCUCUCUCUCUCUCUAAUUUAGACUCUACAACACCUCAGGCCAGCGCUACAGAACAAAUAACUAUAGUUGAUAACACAACACAACUGACCACAGUUACCAGUAAGUAUCAUCAAGUUCUGGAGAACAAAAUGUGUGUUUCUUCCCUGCUGUAGACACUACAACAUCUGCACCCACAACAGGACAAAGUACUACAGCUGACCUCACAACACAACUGACCCCAGUUACCUGUAAAUAAAAUCAAGUACUGGUGAAAAUACUUUGUUCGGAAUAUCAGUUCUUCAUAAAAUUGUCACAAUCUUUCUCUCUCUCUCUCUCUCUCUCUCUCUCUCUCUCUCUGCUUUAGACUCUACAACACCUGAGGCCAGCACUACAGAACAAAAUACUACAGCUGACCUCACAACACAACUGACCACAGUUACCAGCAUGUACUCUACAACACCUGAGUCCAGCACUACAGAACAAAAUACUACAGCUGACCUCAUAACACAACUGACCACAGUUACCAACUCUACAACACCUCAGGCCAGCACUACAGAACAAAUAACUAUAGUUGAUAACACAACACAACUGACCACAGUUACCAACUCUACAACACCUGAGGCCAGCACUACAGAACAAAAUACUACAGCUGACCUCACAACACAACUGAACACAGUUACAAACUCUAGUGCACCUGCACCCACAACACAACAGAGUACUACAGCUGACCUCACAACACAACUGACCACAGUUACCAACUCUAGUGCACCUGCACCCACAACACAACAGAGUACUACAGCUGACCUCACAACACAACUGACCACAGUUACCAACUCUACCACACCUGAGGCCAGCACUACUGAACAAAUGACCAAAGUUACCAGUAAGUUUCAAGUUCUGGAGAACAAAACAUGUCUGAAGCAAAGUUCACCACCAAAAGAGCUGACACUCAAUCACAAUGUUUCUUCCCUGCUGUAGACUCUACAACAUCUGCACCCACAACAGGACAAAGUACUACAGCUGACCUCACAACACAACUGACCACAGUUACCAGUAUGACGGCUAACAUUUUAUUUCAGAACAAAAUGGCAUUUUUAUUGUCACUAUCUGUCACAACAGAACUGACCACAUUGACCAGGCUAAGUGCUUCUGAAGGCUAUCAAAUAGUACUUUCUGAGGCAUUAUGAGUUUCUGUUAAUCUGCUUCUUUUGUUUAUCACUACGUUACUUCUCUCUUGGUAGACUCUACUACACCUGCAGCUGGAACAAAACAGACCACUACAGCUGAUCCCACAACACAACCGACCACAGACACUAGUAAGUGUCAUCAAUUUCUGUAUAACAAAACCUGUCUAAAGCGGACUUCACCAAACAGACCUAACAAUCUAUGUUACUUCUCUGCUGUAGACUCUACUGCACCCACAAAUACAUGAACUACUGAAUCAACACCAGCAUUAAGUACAAAAACACCAACAACAAUUGCAAAACCUGCUGGUGUGUGUAAGAAUAGAGGAUGUUUCUGAACACUUCUAAAUGAAUCCUGACCACAUUCACCAGUAGGUGAACCAUAGUUCACCAAACAGAUCUAACAAUGUAACAGUCGGUCACUACUGUAUAUUACCGCUUUGUUGUAGCCUCUGCAACACCUACGCCCAGAACAGAACAGAGAACAACCAACACAGGUAGCACAGGUGUUGUUCUGUCAUCCACCUACAGUUUUGUACUAUAGCUUUCACCUACUGCUAUGCCAUGUGUCUCUCCCAACAGGAACUACAGCAACUACUGAACCAACACCAGCAACUACAAAAACGACACCACCACCACCAACAACAACAGCAAUACCACCACCAACACCAACAACAACAGUACCACCACCAUCACCAACAACUGCAAAACCAGCUGGUAUGUGUAAGAAUUGAAGAUGUUUCUGAACACUACUAAAUGAAUCCUGAUUAUGCCAUGAUUAUGAAAAAUCCUGAAUCAAUCAUGAAUAUUGAUGGGUGAGAAGGUUACAGAGGACACAACAAAACAUGUUAACCUCUCAGCAUUAGCGAUGGCAUUUUUGGGGGGUAUGAUCUUUGUGCCUCUGUUAAUUUCUCAGUCAUUAUUAUUCACGACUCAUUUACGAUUAUACAUAAUCAUGGUAGCAUCCACAUUAAUGUAGAAGUGUUCAGAGACAUCUUCUAAUCUUACUUACAAUAAAAGUGUCUCCAAAAUAACACAAUGCGUUAUUCACCAUUCAGUUCCUAUAGGGAAAAAUAUA
RNAcentral lists this long non-coding RNA (2595 nucleotides) under Salmo trutta (river trout). RNAcentral describes it as "lncRNA (ENSSTUG00000037580.1)". Lineage: Eukaryota; Metazoa; Chordata; Actinopteri; Salmoniformes; Salmonidae. The record is from RNAcentral.